This 390-nucleotide ribosomal RNA is filed under the name uncultured bacterium. RNAcentral's name for it is "bacterial SSU rRNA". It matches the Rfam family "Bacterial small subunit ribosomal RNA", at positions 28 to 415 of the family's 1533-position model. The record is from RNAcentral.
GACGAACGCUGGCGGCGUGCUUAAUACAUGCAAGUCAACUGAACUUGAGAUAGCAAUAUUUUAAGGGAGGUGGCGCACGGGUGAGUAACACGUAGGUAAUCUGCCUUUAGGUCUGACACAACCCCGAGAAAUCGGGGCUAAUAUCAGAUGAUGCAGCGGCUCGACAUCGAGACAGUUGUUAAACCUUCGGGGCCUAGAGAUGAGCCUGCGUCUGAUUAGGUAGUUGGCGGAGUAAAAGCCCACCAAGCCUGCGAUCAGUAGCUGGUCUGAGAGGAUGAUCAGCCACAUUGGGACUGAGACACGGCCCAGACUCCUACGGGAGGCAGCAGUGGGGAAUAUUGCGCAAUGGGCGAAAGCCUGACGCAGCGACGCCGCGUGAGGGAUGAAGGC